UGUUCUGCUGCAAGAUAUUGAAGACUUUGUCUACACACAUAUCAUAUUUAGGAUUGUCCUUUCAGUUCACCUCUUUAAAGAGAGAGAAGUCUUACUCUUUGGUUUCUGUGACAUCUGACCUUUUACUGCUGCCUUCUGAAUCAGGACUUUGGCUGAGCAGAGAUGUCCAAGUGC
This 174-nucleotide long non-coding RNA is filed under the name Canis lupus familiaris (dog). Its description in RNAcentral is "lncRNA (ENSCAFG00845017653.1)". Lineage: Eukaryota; Metazoa; Chordata; Mammalia; Carnivora; Canidae. The record is from RNAcentral.